Molecule: ribosomal RNA, 433 nt
Filed under: uncultured bacterium
Lineage: Bacteria
Description: partial 16S ribosomal RNA
Rfam family: Bacterial small subunit ribosomal RNA
Source: RNAcentral
AGCGAACGCUGGCGGCAGGCCUAACACAUGCAAGUCGAACGAACUCUUCGGAGUUAGUGGCGGACGGGUGAGUAACACGUGGGAACGUGCCUUUUGGUUCGGAAUAACUCAGGGAAACUUGUGCUAAUACCGAAUGUGUCCUUCGGGGGAAAGAUUUAUCGCCAUUAGAGCGGCCCGCGUCUGAUUAGCUAGUUGGUGAGGUAACGGCUCACCAAGGCGACGAUCAGUAGCUGGUCUGAGAGGAUGACCAGCCACACUGGGACUGAGACACGGCCCAGACUCCUACGGGAGGCAGCAGUGGGGAAUCUUGCGCAAUGGGCGAAAGCCUGACGCAGCCAUGCCGCGUGAAUGAUGAAGGUCUUAGGAUUGUAAAAUUCUUUCACCGGGGACGAUAAUGACGGUACCCGGAGAAGAAGCCCCGGCUAACUUCGUG